GGAGAGAUGGCCGAGUGGUUGAAGGCGCCUGACUCGAAAUCAGGUGACGGUGUGAGCCGUUCGGGGGUUCGAAUCCCUCUCUCUCCGCCA
RNAcentral lists this transfer RNA (90 nucleotides) under Holophaga sp. RNAcentral describes it as "tRNA-Ser". It matches the Rfam family "tRNA". From Rfam's summary of the family: Transfer RNA (tRNA) molecules are approximately 80 nucleotides in length. Their secondary structure includes four short double-helical elements and three loops (D, anti-codon, and T loops). Lineage: Bacteria; Pseudomonadati; Acidobacteriota; Holophagae; Holophagales; Holophagaceae. The record is from RNAcentral.